GUUGUUUCCAAGAGAAGUGACCUCCGAAGCUAACGCAUUAAGUCGACCGCCUGGGGAGUACGGCCGCAAGGCUAAAACUCAAAUGAAUUGACGGGGGCCCGCACAAGCGGUGGAGCAUGUGGUUUAAUUCGAUGCAACGCGAAAAACCUUACCUGGUCUUGACAUCCAUAAAAUUUUUUAGAAAUAAAAAAGUGCCUUCGGGAAUUAUGAGACAGGUGCUGCAUGGCUGUCGUCAGCUCGUGUUGUGAAAUGUUGGGUUAAGUCCCGCAACGAGCGCAACCCUUAUCCCCUGUUGCCAGCGGUUCGGCCGGGAACUCAGAGGAGACUGCCGGUUAUAAACCGGAGGAAGGUGGGGACGACGUCAAGUCAUCAUGGCCCUUACGACCAGGGCUACACACGUGCUACAAUGGUUUAUACAAAGAGAAGCAAAUCUGUAAAGACAAGCAAACCUCAUAAAGUAAAUCGUGGUCCGGACUGGAGUCUGCAACUCGACUCCACGAAGUCGGAAUCGCUAGUAAUCGUGGAUCAGGAUGCCACGGUGAAUACGUUCCCGGGCCUUGUACACACCGCCCGUCACACCAUGGGAGUGGGUUGCAAAAGAAGCAGGUAUCCUAACCCCUUAAAAGGAAGGCGCCUACCACUUUGUGAUUCAUGACUGGGGUGAAGUCGUAACAAGGUAACCGUAGGGGAACCUGC
Molecule: ribosomal RNA, 696 nt
Filed under: uncultured bacterium
Lineage: Bacteria
Description: bacterial SSU rRNA
Rfam family: Bacterial small subunit ribosomal RNA
Source: RNAcentral